This 405-nucleotide ribosomal RNA is filed under the name Klebsiella oxytoca. RNAcentral describes it as "bacterial SSU rRNA". It matches the Rfam family "Bacterial small subunit ribosomal RNA", at positions 1129 to 1533 of the family's 1533-position model. Lineage: Bacteria; Pseudomonadati; Pseudomonadota; Gammaproteobacteria; Enterobacterales; Enterobacteriaceae. The record is from RNAcentral. RNAcentral also lists the same sequence under 1 other name.
GGUCGGGAACUCAAAGGAGACUGCCAGUGAUAAACUGGAGGAAGGUGGGGAUGACGUCAAGUCAUCAUGGCCCUUACGAGUAGGGCUACACACGUGCUACAAUGGCAUAUACAAAGAGAAGCGACCUCGCGAGAGCAAGCGGACCUCAUAAAGUAUGUCGUAGUCCGGAUUGGAGUCUGCAACUCGACUCCAUGAAGUCGGAAUCGCUAGUAAUCGUGGAUCAGAAUGCCACGGUGAAUACGUUCCCGGGCCUUGUACACACCGCCCGUCACACCAUGGGAGUGGGUUGCAAAAGAAGUAGGUAGCUUAACCUUCGGGAGGGCGCUUACCACUUUGUGAUUCAUGACUGGGGUGAAGUCGUAACAAGGUAACCGUAGGGGAACCUGCGGUUGGAUCACCUCCUUA